This 322-nucleotide ribosomal RNA is filed under the name uncultured eukaryote. RNAcentral describes it as "partial 18S ribosomal RNA". It matches the Rfam family "Eukaryotic small subunit ribosomal RNA", at positions 1470 to 1796 of the family's 1831-position model. The record is from RNAcentral.
CCCUUAGAUGUCCUGGGCUGCACGCGCGCUACACUGAAAGUUACGGAUUGACUUUUUACCUUGUCCGAAAUGGUCCGGGUAAUCACCUAAAAGCUUGUCAUAAUUGGAAUGGAUUAUUGUAACUAGUAAUCCUGAACGAGGAAUUCCUAGUAAGCGCGAGUCAUCAGCUCGUGCUGAUUACGUCCCUGCCCUUUGUACACACCGCCCGUCGCUGCAACUGAUUGGGUGACCUGGUGAACAUCUUGGACCGGCCCACUCAAUUUCGAGAGGACUGGAAAAGGCCGUAAAUCAGGUACAUCUAGAAAUUGCAAAAGUCGUAACA